Molecule: long non-coding RNA, 1654 nt
Organism: Oncorhynchus keta (chum salmon)
Lineage: Eukaryota; Metazoa; Chordata; Actinopteri; Salmoniformes; Salmonidae
Exons: 4
Source: RefSeq, a predicted model, not a curated record
GGCAGAUGUACAGAAAGAUGGCAGGUCUACAGUUUGCUGUCAUUCAACCCAUGCCCCCACCACAGUACAAUGGUAAGAUGGCAGAUGUACAGAAAGAUGGUAGGUCUACAGUUUGCUGUCAUUCAACCCAUGCCCCCACCACAGUACAAUGGUAAGAUGGCAGAUGUACAGAAAGAUGGUAGGUCUACAGUUUGCUGUCAUUCAACCCAUGCCCCCACCACAGUACAAUGGUAAGAUGGCAGAUGUACAGAAAGAUGGUAGGUCUACAGUUUGCUGUCAUUCAACCCAUGCCCCCACCACAGUACAAUGGUAAGAUGGCAGAUGUACAGAAAGAUGGUAGGUCUACAGUUUGCUGUCAUUCAACCCAUGCCCCCACCACAGUACAAUGGUAAGAUGGCAGAUGUACAGAAAGAUGGCAGGUCUACAGUUUGCUGUCAUUCAACCCAUGCCCCCACCACAGUACAAUGGUAAGAUGGCAGAUGUACAGAAAGAUGGUAGGUCUACAGUUUGCUGUCAUUCAACCCAUGCCCCCACCACAGUACAAUGGUAAUAUGCAGAUGUACAGAAAGAUGGCAGGUCUACAGUUUGCUGUCAUUCAACCCAUGCCCCCACCACAGUACAAUGGUAAGAUGGCAGAUGUACAGAAAGAUGGCAGGUCUACAGUUUGCUGUCAUUCAACCCAUGCCCCCACCACAGUACAAUGGUAAUAUGCAGAUGUACAGAAAGAUGGUAGGUCUACAGUUUGCUGUCAUCCAACCCAUGCCCCCACCACAGUACAAUGGUAAGAUGGCAGAUGUACAGAAAGAUGGCAGGUCUACAGUUUGCUGUCAUUCAACCCAUGCCCCCACCACAGUACAAUGGUAAGAUGGCAGAUGUACAGAAAGAUGGUAGGUCUACAGUUUGCUGUCAUUCAACCCAUGCCCCCACCACAGUACAAUGGUAAUAUGCAGAUGUACAGAAAGAUGGUAGGUCUACAGUUUGCUGUCAUCCAACCCAUGCCCCCACCACAGUACAAUGGUAAGAUGGCAGAUGUACAGAAAGAUGGCAGGUCUACAGUUUGCUGUCAUUCAACCCAUGCCCCCACCACAGUACAAUGGUAAGAUGGCAGAUGUACAGAAAGAUGGUAGGUCUACAGUUUGCUGUCAUUCAACCCAUGCCCCCACCACAGUACAAUGGUAAUAUGCAGAUGUACAGAAAGAUGGUAGGUCUACAGUUUGCUGUCAUCCAACCCAUGCCCCCACCACAGUACAAUGGUAAGAUGGCAGAUGUACAGAAAGAUGGUAGGUCUACAGUUUGCUGUCAUUCAACCCAUGCCCCCACCACAGUACAAUGGUAAGAUGGCAGAUGUACAGAAAGAUGGCAGGUCUACAGUUUGCUGUCAUUCAACCCAUGCCCCCACCACAGUACAAUGGUAAGAUGGCAGAUGUACAGAAAGAUGGUAGGUCUACAGUUUGCUGUCAUUCAACCCAUGCCCCCACCACAGUACAAUGGUAAUAUGCAGAUGUACAGAAAGAUGGUAGGUCUACAGUUUGCUGUCAUUCAACCCAUGCCCCCACCACAGUACAAUGGUAAGAUGGCAGCAUCAAUAGUGUUUAAGGCAGGUAAAAUGUAGACUCCAUCUUUGUGCACAUCCACAAUAAGUUUGUUUCCUACA